UACACAUGCAAGUCGAGCGGGGAAAAGUAGCUUGCUACUUUACCUAGCGGCGGACGGGUGAGUAAUGCUUAGGAAUCUGCCUAUUAGUGGGGGACAACAUCUCGAAAGGGAUGCUAAUACCGCAUACGUCCUACGGGAGAAAGCAGGGGACCUUCGGGCCUUGCGCUAAUAGAUGAGCCUAAGUCGGAUUAGCUAGUUGGUGGGGUAAAGGCCUACCAAGGCGACGAUCUGUAGCGGGUCUGAGAGGAUGAUCCGCCACACUGGGACUGAGACACGGCCCAGACUCCUACGGGAGGCAGCAGUGGGGAAUAUUGGACAAUGGGGGGAACCCUGAUNCCAGCCAUGCCGCGUGUGUGAAGAAGGCCUUUUGGUUGUAAAGCACU
RNAcentral lists this ribosomal RNA (383 nucleotides) under Moraxellaceae bacterium enrichment culture clone MS_ACE_O10. RNAcentral describes it as "bacterial SSU rRNA". It matches the Rfam family "Bacterial small subunit ribosomal RNA", at positions 50 to 434 of the family's 1533-position model. Lineage: Bacteria; Pseudomonadati; Pseudomonadota; Gammaproteobacteria; Moraxellales; Moraxellaceae. The record is from RNAcentral.